AGUGAACGCUGGCGGUAGGCCUAACACAUGCAAGUCGAACGGCAGCACAGUAAGAGCUUGCUCUUACGGGUGGCGAGUGGCGGACGGGUGAGGAAUACAUCGGAAUCUACUUUUUCGUGGGGGAUAACGUAGGGAAACUUACGCUAAUACCGCAUACGACCUACGGGUGAAAGCAGGGGAUCUUCGGACCUUGCGCGAUUGAAUGAGCCGAUGUCGGAUUAGCUAGUUGGCGGGGUAAAGGCCCACCAAGGCGACGAUCCGUAGCUGGUCUGAGAGGAUGAUCAGCCACACUGGAACUGAGACACGGUCCAGACGCCUACGGGAGGCAGCAGUGGGGAAUAUUGGACAAUGGGCGCAAGCCUGAUCCAGCCAUACCGCGUGGGUGAAGAAGGCCUUCGGGUUGUAAAGCCAUUUUGUUGGGAAAGAAAAGCAGCAGGUUAAUACCCCGCUGUUCUGACGGUACCCAAAGAAGAAGCACCGGCUAACUUCGU
This 491-nucleotide ribosomal RNA is filed under the name uncultured bacterium. RNAcentral's name for it is "partial 16S ribosomal RNA". It matches the Rfam family "Bacterial small subunit ribosomal RNA", at positions 29 to 506 of the family's 1533-position model. The record is from RNAcentral.